AGUGAACGCUGGCGGUAGGCCUAACACAUGCCAGUCGAACGGCAGCACAGUAAGAGCUUGCUCUUACGGGUGGCGAGUGGCGGACGGGUGAGGAAUACAUCGGAAUCUACUUUUUCGUGGGGGAUAACGUAGGGAAACUUACGCUAAUACCGCAUACGACCUACGGGUGAAAGCAGUGGAUCUUCGGACCUUGCGCGAUUGAAUGAGCCGAUGUCGGAUUAGCUAGUUGGCGGGGUAAAGGCCCACCAAGGCGACGAUCCGUAGCUGGUCUGAGAGGAUGAUCAGCCACACUGGAACUGAGACACGGUCCAGACUCCUACGGGAGGCAGCAGUGGGGAAUAUUGGACAAUGGGCGAAAGCCUGAUCCAGCAAUACCGCGUGGGUGAAGAAGGCCUUCGGGUUGUAAAGCCCUGUUGUUGGGAAAGAAAAGCAGCAGGUUAAUACCCCGCUGUUCUGACGGUACCCAAAGAAUAAGCACCGGCUAACUUCGUG
RNAcentral lists this ribosomal RNA (492 nucleotides) under uncultured bacterium. Its description in RNAcentral is "partial 16S ribosomal RNA". It matches the Rfam family "Bacterial small subunit ribosomal RNA", at positions 29 to 507 of the family's 1533-position model. The record is from RNAcentral.